UACGGGGGUGGCGAGCGUUACUCGGAUUUAUUGGGUGUAAAGGGCAGGUAGGCGUCCCAGCAAGUUUCAGGUGAAAUCCUUUGGCUUAACCAAAGAACUGCCUGAAAAACUGUUGGGAUUGAGACUGGAAGAGGAGAGCGGAAUUCCCGGUGUAAGGGUGAAAUCUGUAGAUAUCGGGAGGAACACCAGUGGCGAAAGCGGCUCUCUGGUCUGGUUCUGACGCUAAGCUGCGAAAGCUAGGGGAG
RNAcentral lists this ribosomal RNA (245 nucleotides) under uncultured bacterium. Its description in RNAcentral is "partial 16S ribosomal RNA". It matches the Rfam family "Bacterial small subunit ribosomal RNA", at positions 524 to 768 of the family's 1533-position model. The record is from RNAcentral.